RNAcentral lists this non-coding RNA (26 nucleotides) under Homo sapiens (human). The record is from RNAcentral. Lineage: Eukaryota; Metazoa; Chordata; Mammalia; Primates; Hominidae.
CUCACUUGCAACAGGGGCUUCUGGUC